Molecule: ribosomal RNA, 481 nt
Filed under: uncultured bacterium
Lineage: Bacteria
Description: partial 16S ribosomal RNA
Rfam family: Bacterial small subunit ribosomal RNA
Source: RNAcentral
GAUGAACGCUGGCGGCGUGCCUAACACAUGCAAGUCGAGCGAAGCACUUACUUUAGAUUUCUUCGGAAUGACGAAGUUUGUGACUGAGCGGCGGACGGGUGAGUAACGCGUGGGCAACCUGCCCUGUACAGGGGGAUAACAGUUAGAAAUGACUGCUAAUACCGCAUAAGCCCACAGCUUCGCAUGAAGCAGUGGGAAAAACUCCGGUGGUACAGGAUGGGCCCGCGUCUGAUUAGCUAGUUGGUAAGGUAACGGCUUACCAAGGCGACGAUCAGUAGCCGACCUGAGAGGGUGACCGGCCACAUUGGGACUGAGACACGGCCCAAACUCCUACGGGAGGCAGCAGUGGGGAAUAGUGCACAAUGGGGGAAACCCUGAUGCAGCGACGCCGCGUGAGCGAUGAAGUAUUUCGGUAUGUAAAGCUCUAUCAGCAGGGAAGAAAGUGACGGUACCUGACUAAGAAGCCCCGGCUAACUACGUG